This 21-nucleotide non-coding RNA is filed under the name Arabidopsis thaliana (thale cress). The record is from RNAcentral. Lineage: Eukaryota; Viridiplantae; Streptophyta; Magnoliopsida; Brassicales; Brassicaceae.
UUACAAUCAUGGAAAAACAGG